CAUGAGUAUUCUAAGGCGCUUGAGAGAACUCAGGAGAAGGAACUCGGCAAAUUGACACCGUAACUUCGGAAGAAGGUGUGCCUUUAGUAGGUGAAGUCCCUCGCGGAUGGAGCCCAAUGAGGUUGCAAAAAAUCGGUGGCUGCGACUGUUUAUUAAAAACACAGCACUCUGCAAACACGAAAGUGGACGUAUAGGGUGUGACGCCUGCCCGGUGCUGGAAGAUUAAAUGAUGGGGUGCAAGCUCUUGAUUGAAGUCCCAGUAAACGGCGGCCGUAACGAUAACGGUCCUAAGGUAGCGAAAUUCCUUGUCGGGUAAGUUCCGACCUGCACGAAUGGCGUAACGAUGGCCACACUGUCUCCUCCUGAGACUCAGCGAAGUUGAAAUGUUUGUGAUGAUGCAAUCUCCCCGCGGAAAGACGGAAAGACCCCAUGAACCUUUACUGUAGCUUUGUAUUGGACUUUGAACAGAUCUGUGUAGGAUAGGUGGGAGGCUUUGAAGCAGGGUCGCUAGAUCUUGUGGAGCCAACGUUGAAAUACCACCCUGGUGUGUUUGAGGUUCUAACCUAGGCCCGUAAUCCGGGUUGGGACAGUGCAUGGUAGGCAGUUUGACUGGGGCGGUCUCCUCCCAAAGUGUAACGGAGGAGUUCGAAGGUACGCUAGUUACGGUCGGACAUCGUGACGAUAGUGCAAUGGCAUAAGCGUGCUUAACUGCGAGACUGACAAGUCGAGCAGAUGCGAAAGCAGGACAUAGUGAUCCGGUGGUUCUGUAUGGAAGGGCCAUCGCUCAACGGAUAAAAGGUACUCUGGGGAUAACAGGCUGAUACCGCCCAAGAGUUCAUAUCGACGGCGGUGUUUGGCACCUCGAUGUCGGCUCAUCUCAUCCUGGGGCUGUAGCCGGUCCCAAGGGUAUGGCUGUUCGCCAUUUAAAGAGGUACGUGAGCUGGGUUUAAAACGUCGUGAGACAGUUUGGACCCUAUCUUCCGUGGGCGCUGCAGAUUUGAGGAAGCCUGCUCCUAGUACGAGAGGACCGGAGUGGACGCACCUCUGGUGUAUCGGUUGUCACGCCAGUGGCAUUGCCGAGUAGCUAUGUGCGGAAGAGAUAACCGCUGAAAGCAUCUAAGCGGGAAACUCGUUUCAAGAUGAGAUCUGCCGGGGCCUUGAGCCCCCUGAAGAGUCGUUCAAGACCAGGACGUUGAUAGGACGGGUGUGGAAGCGCAGUAAUGCGUUAAGCUAACCGAUACUAAUUGCUCGUGCGGCUUGACCCC
RNAcentral lists this ribosomal RNA (1265 nucleotides) under metagenome. RNAcentral's name for it is "bacterial LSU rRNA". It matches the Rfam family "Bacterial large subunit ribosomal RNA", at positions 1671 to 2925 of the family's 2925-position model. The record is from RNAcentral.